CCAUCAGUGGUUCAGUGGUAGAAUGCACGCCUGCCACGCGGGCGGCCCGGGUUCGAUUCCUGGUCGAUGCU
RNAcentral lists this transfer RNA (71 nucleotides) under Cordylochernes scorpioides. Its description in RNAcentral is "tRNA-Gly". It matches the Rfam family "tRNA". Rfam says of the family: Transfer RNA (tRNA) molecules are approximately 80 nucleotides in length. Their secondary structure includes four short double-helical elements and three loops (D, anti-codon, and T loops). The record is from RNAcentral. Lineage: Eukaryota; Metazoa; Arthropoda; Arachnida; Pseudoscorpiones; Chernetidae.